GGGUUGUGAGGUUAAGCGACUAAGCGUACACGGUGGAUGCCCUGGCAGUCAGAGGCGAUGAAGGACGUGCUAAUCUGCGAAAAGCGUCGGUAAGGUGAUAUGAACCGUUAUAACCGGCGAUGUCCGAAUGGGGAAACCCAGUGCAAUUCGUUGCACUAUCGUUAACUGAAUACAUAGGUUAACGAGGCGAACCGGGGGAACUGAAACAUCUAAGUACCCCGAGGAAAAGAAAUCAACCGAGAUUCCCCCAGUAGCGGCGAGCGAACGGGGAGCAGCCCAGAGUCUGAAUCAGCUUGUGUGUUAGUGGAACGGUCUGGAAAGUCCGACGGUACAGGGUGAUAGUCCCGUACACCAAAAUGCACAGGCUGUGAACUCGAAGAGUAGGGCGGGACACGUGGUAUCCUGUCUGAAUAUGGGGGGACCAUCCUCCAAGGCUAAAUACUCCUGACUGACCGAUAGUGAACCAGUACCGUGAGGGAAAGGCGAAAAGAACCCCGGCGAGGGGAGUGAAAAAGAACCUGAAACCGUGUACGUACAAGCAGUGGGAGCACCUUCGGGUGUGACUGCGUACCUUUUGUAUAAUGGGUCAGCGACUUAUAUUCUGUAGCAAGGUUAACCGUAUAGGGGAGCCGCAGGGAAACCGAGUCUUAACUGGGCGUUAAGUUGCAGGGUAUAGACCCGAAACCCGGUGAUCUAGCCAUGGGCAGGUUGAAGGUUGGGUAACACUAACUGGAGGACCGAACCGACUAAUGUUGAAAAAUUAGCGGAUGACUUGUGGCUGGGGGUGAAAGGCCAAUCAAACCGGGAGAUAGCUGGUUCUCCCCGAAAGCUAUUUAGGUAGCGCCUCGUGAACUCAUCUUCGGGGGUAGAGCACUGUUUCGGCUAGGGGGUCAUCCCGACUUACCAACCCGAUGCAAACUACGAAUACCGAAGAAUGUUAUCACGGGAGACACACGGCGGGUGCUAACGUCCGUCGUGAAGAGGGAAACAACCCAGACCGCCAGCUAAGGUCCCAAAGUCAUGGUUAAGUGGGAAACGAUGUGGGAAGGCACAGACAGCCAGGAUGUUGGCUUAGAAGCAGCCAUCAUUUAAAGAAAGCGUAAUAGCUCACUGGUCGAGUCGGCCUGCGCGGAAGAUGUAACGGGGCUAAACCAUGCACCGAAGCUGCGGCAGCGACACUAUGUGUUGUUGGGUAGGGGAGCGUUCUGUAAGCCUGCGAAGGUGUGCUGUGAGGCAUGCUGGAGGUAUCAGAAGUGCGAAUGCUGACAUAAGUAACGAUAAAGCGGGUGAAAAGCCCGCUCGCCGGAAGACCAAGGGUUCCUGUCCAACGUUAAUCGGGGCAGGGUGAGUCGACCCCUAAGGCGAGGCCGAAAGGCGUAGUCGAUGGGAAACAGGUUAAUAUUCCUGUACUUGGUGUUACUGCGAAGGGGGGACGGAGAAGGCUAUGUUAGCCGGGCGACGGUUGUCCCGGUUUAAGCAUGUAGGCUGGUUAUCCAGGCAAAUCCGGAUAAUCAAGGCUGAGGUGUGAUGACGAGGCACUACGGUGCUGAAGUAACAAAUGCCCUGCUUCCAGGAAAAGCCUCUAAGCAUCAGGUAACAUCAAAUCGUACCCCAAACCGACACAGGUGGUCAGGUAGAGAAUACCAAGGCGCUUGAGAGAACUCGGGUGAAGGAACUAGGCAAAAUGGUGCCGUAACUUCGGGAGAAGGCACGCUGGUGUGUAGGUGAAGUCCCUGCGGAUGGAGCUGAGACCAGUCGAAGAUACCAGCUGGCUGCAACUGUUUAUUAAAAACACAGCACUGUGCAAACACGAAAGUGGACGUAUACGGUGUGACGCCUGCCCGGUGCCGGAAGGUUAAUUGAUGGGGUUAUCCGUAAGGAGAAGCUCUUGAUCGAAGCCCCGGUAAACGGCGGCCGUAACUAUAACGGUCCUAAGGUAGCGAAAUUCCUUGUCGGGUAAGUUCCGACCUGCACGAAUGGCGUAAUGAUGGCCAGGCUGUCUCCACCCGAGACUCAGUGAAAUUGAACUCGCUGUGAAGAUGCAGUGUACCCGCGGCAAGACGGAAAGACCCCGUGAACCUUUACUAUAGCUUGACACUGAACAUUGAGCCUUGAUGUGUAGGAUAGGUGGGAGGCUUUGAAGCGUGGACGCCAGUCUGCGUGGAGCCAACCUUGAAAUACCACCCUUUAAUGUUUGAUGUUCUAACGUUGGCCCCUUACCGGGGUUGCGGACAGUGUCUGGUGGGUAGUUUGACUGGGGCGGUCUCCUCCCAAAGCGUAACGGAGGAGCACGAAGGUUAGCUAAUCCUGGUCGGACAUCAGGAGGUUAGUGCAAUGGCAUAAGCUAGCUUGACUGCGAGCGUGACGGCGCGAGCAGGUGCGAAAGCAGGUCAUAGUGAUCCGGUGGUUCUGAAUGGAAGGGCCAUCGCUCAACGGAUAAAAGGUACUCCGGGGAUAACAGGCUGAUACCGCCCAAGAGUUCAUAUCGACGGCGGUGUUUGGCACCUCGAUGUCGGCUCAUCACAUCCUGGGGCUGAAGUAGGUCCCAAGGGUAUGGCUGUUCGCCAUUUAAAGUGGUACGCGAGCUGGGUUUAGAACGUCGUGAGACAGUUCGGUCCCUAUCUGCCGUGGGCGCUGGAGAAUUGAGGGGGGCUGCUCCUAGUACGAGAGGACCGGAGUGGACGCAUCACUGGUGUUCGGGUUGUCAUGCCAAUGGCACUGCCCGGUAGCUAAAUGCGGAAGAGAUAAGUGCUGAAAGCAUCUAAGCACGAAACUUGCCCCGAGAUGAGUUCUCCCUGAGACUUUAAGUCUCCUGAAGGAACGUUGAAGACGACGACGUUGAUAGGCCGGGUGUGUAAGCGCAGCGAUGCGUUGAGCUAACCGGUACUAAUGAACCGUGAGGCUUAACCUUACAACGCCGAAG
RNAcentral lists this ribosomal RNA (2923 nucleotides) under Klebsiella pneumoniae. RNAcentral's name for it is "bacterial LSU rRNA". It matches the Rfam family "Bacterial large subunit ribosomal RNA". The record is from RNAcentral. Lineage: Bacteria; Pseudomonadati; Pseudomonadota; Gammaproteobacteria; Enterobacterales; Enterobacteriaceae. RNAcentral also lists the same sequence under 1 other name.